This is a non-coding RNA of Lentinula aciculospora, 88 nucleotides long. NCBI's taxonomy places the organism in Eukaryota, Fungi, Basidiomycota, Agaricomycetes, Agaricales, Omphalotaceae. The record is from the annotation of a GenBank genome assembly.
GGGGGUAUAGCUCAGCCGGGAGAGCAGCAGACUGAAGAGGAGUUCUAUGUCUUUCUGAAGGUCCCGCGAUCGAUCCGCGGUACCCCAA